RNAcentral lists this ribosomal RNA (422 nucleotides) under uncultured bacterium. RNAcentral's name for it is "bacterial SSU rRNA". It matches the Rfam family "Bacterial small subunit ribosomal RNA", at positions 355 to 774 of the family's 1533-position model. The record is from RNAcentral.
UGAGUAAUAUUGGGCAAUGCCCGCAAGGGUGACCCAGCAACGCCGCGUGGAGGAUGAAUGUCGUAAGAUUGUAAACUCCUGUUAGAGGGGAAGAAUAGUACCGGUUGGACCGGUAUAUGACUGUACCCUCAGAGAAAGCCCCGGCUAACUACGUGCCAGCAGCCGCGGUAAUACGUAGGGGGCAAGCGUUGUCCGGAUUUACUGGGUGUAAAGGGCGCGCAGGCGGGAUAAAAAGUCAGUGGUGAAAUCCUACAGCUUAACUGUAGAACUGCCUUUGAUACUUUUAUUCUUGAGUUCGGGAGAGAGAGACGGAAUUCCAGGUGUAGUGGUGAAAUACGUAGAUAUCUGGAAGAACACCAGUUGCGAAGGCGGUCUCUUGGUCCGACACUGACGCUGAGGCGCGAAAGCGUGGGGAGCAAACA